AUUGAACGCUGGCGGCAGGCUUAACACAUGCAAGUCGAGCGAGAGGCGGAGGGGUGAGAAAUGUCUGGGAAACUGCCUGAAGGAGGGGGAUAAAUACUGGAAACGGUAGCUAAUACCGCAUACCAUCAGAUUUGGCCAGAGGGGCUUAGCUAGUAGGUGGGGUAAUGGCUCACCUGGGCGACGAUCCCUAGCUGGUCUGAGAGGAUGACCAGCCACACGGGAACUGAGAGACGGUCCAGACUCCUACGGGAGGCAGCAGUGGGGAAUAUUGCACAAUGGGGGAAAGCCUAAUGACGCCAUGCCGCUUGUGUGAAGAAGGCUUUGGGGUUGUAAGGCACUUUCUGCGAGGAGGCGUUACUCGCAGAAGAAGCACCGGCUAACUCCGUGCCAGCAGCCGCGGUAAUAC
RNAcentral lists this ribosomal RNA (406 nucleotides) under uncultured bacterium. Its description in RNAcentral is "partial 16S ribosomal RNA". It matches the Rfam family "Bacterial small subunit ribosomal RNA", at positions 30 to 526 of the family's 1533-position model. The record is from RNAcentral.